GUCUCCGUAGCCCAAUCGGAAGAGGCGGCCGGCUUAAAACCGGCAACGGUGCGGGUUCAAAUCCCGUCGGAGACA
Molecule: transfer RNA, 75 nt
Filed under: Mycobacterium avium
Lineage: Bacteria; Bacillati; Actinomycetota; Actinomycetes; Mycobacteriales; Mycobacteriaceae
Also listed under: 1 other name
Description: tRNA-Leu
Rfam family: tRNA
About the family: Transfer RNA (tRNA) molecules are approximately 80 nucleotides in length.
Source: RNAcentral